Molecule: unclassified non-coding RNA, 1828 nt
Filed under: Hevea brasiliensis (rubber tree)
Lineage: Eukaryota; Viridiplantae; Streptophyta; Magnoliopsida; Malpighiales; Euphorbiaceae
Source: RNAcentral
CUUAAUUACCUUCCCUCAGCGCAUCCAAACAGAGCCUUAGUAUCUAUCAAAUUUGAGCAGAUAGCUUACUGGUUCAACACUGGCAUGCUCAUCUCCAUCUCCAAUCUCUGCAAUAUCUUGCCCUAACCCAACUCUUCCUAAAAGUGUCUCUUCACGGCUUCACCUUCCAUGUUCAUUCCUAAAGCCAUGGCCAAGGAGCUUUACUUUAACCAUGAUGGUUCAGCAACUAAGAAACUUCGGGCAGGAUGGAUAUGGUGGCAGAGCUAGUAGGAGUAACUUAAGUCCAAAAGGAAGGGAAUGUAGUGUUGGAAAAUAGGUAUGGACUCCAAAGAUUGGUUAACGAUGGAGAAAUGGUUCUCAAACAGAUUGAAUUGGAGGACUCUUUGGAGAAUGUGGGAGUGAAAUUGUUGAGGCAAGAUAGUGCAAAAACAAAUGACCUCGCUGGUGAUGGUUCCGCAACAUCUGUAGUUCUUGCUCAUGGUUUAAUCACUGAAGGUCAGGAGGUAAGUCACCAGUAGACUCUCUUAUAAAUCAAUAAUGCUUGCUCCAAUGGUUUAAAGACUAACACUUCUUGUGUCUUGUUAUGGUUGAAAGAAGAUGCAUAAAAAGUAAAUUUGUAGCCAGUAGAGAUGUUUGUCAUUUAUGUCAUGCAGCAGCUCCUGGCUUUUUUUUGAUAAUCUCUUUCAAUGGUAUCUCCACUUCAAAUAUCUCACUAAGCUUUUAUAUAAGAUUCUCUGAAUUUUUAUGUUAAAGAUGACGCAAUUUCUAGGAGAUUGCAGCUGGCAUGAAUCCAUCCAAAUUGCUUGUGGGAUUGAGAAAACCUUGAAGGCCCUUGUUUCUGAACUCGAAUUGAUGUCUAAAGAGAUGAAUAAGUUUCUUUUCUCCUUUCCUUAUGCUUAGAAGUUAAAAAAUUGAGAUCCAGGAAAUGUAAAUUAGUAUGUAAAAUGAGGAGCAAAGAUGCUUCUUCUAUGUCUGCAAGAAUACUAACAAAAGCUUUUAGGUUGAGGAUGAUGAGCUUGCAGAUGUUGCUGCAGUUAGUGCAGGGAAUGAUUAUACAGUGGGAAACAUGAUAUCUGAUGCUCUUCAUGAAGUGGAAAGGAGGGGCAUAGUCAUAAUUGUAAAAGGAAAGUAUAUUGAGAACAAUCUACAGAUUGUUAAAGAGAUGCAAUUUGAUCAUGGAUAUUUGUCCCUUACUUCGUCCCUGAUCAAUGCAAAAUGACAGUAGAGCUCCAAAACUGCAAGUUACUUUUGGUUCACAAAAAAAUCACAAAUCCAAAGGAGAUGUUUAAAGUAUUGGACAAUGCUGUAUAAGAGAAGUACCCCAUAGUGAGAGUUGCAGAGGGCAUUGAACAGGAAACGUUGGCUCUAGAUAUUGCGAACAAACUCAAGGGUGUGUUGAAGGCAGCUGACAGGCGGUAGUGAGCUAAGUACUCAAUAUCAAUAGAUAUCCUUAUUUUAUUGUAUCUUAUCUUACAUAAUACUACAUUCUAUAAUAGUUAUUGACUUGUUCAAUUAUUAAUUAUAGUUGUGAUCUUAUUAUGCAAAUAUUUAUGCAGCUUGGAGCUGAGAUCUUCAGAAGAGCUUAGAGUUAUCUUGCAAGAUUGAUAACCAAGAAUGCAUGCGAAAAUGCCAACAUUGUCGUAAACCAGCAAAGGAGUUGAUUCAGAAAUCUUGAGGAGCUGGCAAGAUUAGUUAGAGAGUUAGUUAGCUAAACAAGUGAUAACUGUUAGUUAGAGAGUCAGUUAGCUAAACAAGUGACAACCGUUGUGUUACCAAAAUAAAUAGUAUUCUUUGUACAAAACAGAUUCAUUCAAUGAAUAAUACGGAA